UGGACCCGUGGCAGGCCCCCUGAACAGUUUUGUCGCUGCUGCCGGGCCCAUGGCUGUCCGCCGGAGACCCAGCGUUCCCUCCAGUGGACUAGAGGCAGGGUGUGUAUGUGUGUGGUCUGCGGGUGUGGCUGGAGGAUAGAGGACAGCCGCAUGCAGGCCUGAUGGGUGUGGCCCUGCAGGAGGACUGGCCACACCUGAAGUUCCUGCCACACACCUGUUGGUGAUCAGUGCUCGUCGGGGGAGCUACUUAGGAGAGUGGAGCUUCCACCGGCGCGGGAUCAUUGAGUUAGCAUAUCGAGAGGAAGAGUGGUCCAGAGAGGCAGCACGCACGGGGGUGCGGAAACACAACCGCGGGGAGCACGAGCACAGACAUCGGAGGGAAGCACGCACACGGGUUCAAGGGAGCAACGGGGAGUCAUUGUGUUUACAGUUUUUCACUGUAAAUAAAGAGCACUGUUUGCAUCGCAGAGACUGCGUUUUGGGUCCUCCUUUCCCCACAUCCCCACGGUCUGCCUGGCGGACCGUGACAAGUGAUUAAAAAAUAAAACAGAAACACAUACCCCAGCAGACAAGGUCUCACAGCUGCAAAGAGAGUAUGAACAGCUCCUCCUCCUCAGAAACAUAAAGUUGGGGGUGAAGAUGAGGCCUGUUUCACUCUCUCACUGUCGGCCAUGAUAUUACAACUG
Molecule: long non-coding RNA, 686 nt
Organism: Oreochromis aureus
Lineage: Eukaryota; Metazoa; Chordata; Actinopteri; Cichliformes; Cichlidae
Source: Ensembl